GCAACGACAUGUAUAGUUGGAGG
Molecule: microRNA, 23 nt
Filed under: Lotus japonicus
Lineage: Eukaryota; Viridiplantae; Streptophyta; Magnoliopsida; Fabales; Fabaceae
Description: lja-miR11146-3p
Source: miRBase by way of RNAcentral